GUUGGGAUUUAAUGGAAUAAAAUAACUUUCUUAGCUCCAAUUCGAUUUCUAUACACUUUUACAGACAAUUAUAAGCUAGCUGCUUUGUAGAUUCUGUAUAAAGUAUCAAAUCUGUAUUUGGAUAAGUUUUUAAGACUUUGAAAAGAUGACGAUUGGAAAUCAAGCUCCAAAGAAGGAGAGAAGGUCAAGGAGGAGCAAAACCGUUAAUGAGAAAGCUCCCUUGUUGCCUAAAAGUCAAGAGGAGGAUGCUGGUUUUGAUGAGUUU
This 265-nucleotide unclassified non-coding RNA is filed under the name Hevea brasiliensis (rubber tree). The record is from RNAcentral. Lineage: Eukaryota; Viridiplantae; Streptophyta; Magnoliopsida; Malpighiales; Euphorbiaceae.